This 474-nucleotide ribosomal RNA is filed under the name uncultured bacterium. RNAcentral's name for it is "SSU rRNA". It matches the Rfam family "Bacterial small subunit ribosomal RNA", at positions 26 to 518 of the family's 1533-position model. The record is from RNAcentral.
AGGACGAACGCUGGCGGCGUGCUUAACACAUGCAAGUCGAGCGGAAAGGCCCUUCGGGGUACUCGAGCGGCGAACGGGUGAGUAACACGUGAGUAAUCUGCCCCUAGCUCUGGGAUAGCUCCGGGAAAACCGGGAUUAAUACCGGAUACGACCACUUUAGACAUCUGUUGUGGUGGAAAGAAUUUUGGCUAGGGAUGAGCUCGCGGCCUAUCAGCUUGUUGGUGGGGUAAUGGCCUACCAAGGCGACGACGGGUAGCCGGCCUGAGAGGGCGACCGGCCACACUGGGACUGAGACACGGCCCAGACUCCUACGGGAGGCAGCAGUGGGGAAUAUUGCGCAAUGGGCGAAAGCCUGACGCAGCGACGCCGCGUGGGGGAUGAAGGCCUUCGGUUGUAAACCCCUUUCAGCAGGGACGAAGCGAAAGUGACGGUACCUGCAGAAGAAGCGCCGGCUAACUACGUGCCAGCAGCCGC